CCGCCGGCCCUGUAGGACCCAGGGGGAUCCACAGCCCAGUUCCCAUUGAUGAUGGACCGGCCCCCAGGGCCACGAAGUGCUGCGGGUCAGAGACUCCACAGCCAUCAGGACGCCUGCCAGAGCCAAGGAUCCCAUCACAGCCGGGGCUCUGGAGAGAGUGAGUGAGAGCACAAAAACAGCCCCACCAUCCCCAGCCAGACCCAGGGACAUGGACAGGUGCCCGAUCAGAUCCUUCAGGCUCUGCUCAGCGCAGCUUGGCAGACCACUCACCACCUGUGCUGUCUCCUGACCCAGCCCCAGGGAGAAGAAAGAAGGCAUGGCGCAGGGGAAGCAGAGGGGCUGGAAGUCAUUCAGGGCUGGGAGUAAGCAGUAAGGUUUUACACUCGGGACUCAGCGAAAGGACAGCGUGCUGACUUCUGAGUCAGACUGAUCUGGAUUUGAACCUCAGCUCCAGCUCUUGCCAGCUAUGUGGUCUUCGACGAAUACUUCCACCCCUGUGUGGUGCAGUUUGCUCAUCUGCAAAAUGGGACUAAUCUAAUAUAUAUGAUGGGCUUGGAUAUGUCUCUUUAUGCAUUUAUACAUGGAAGAAUGCACCCCAAACUCAGUAGUAUUGGUGACAUCUGGGGAGGGAUGCAGGGUUGGGGGAGGACUGAAAAAGGCUUUUGCUUUUUA
Molecule: long non-coding RNA, 672 nt
Filed under: Homo sapiens (human)
Lineage: Eukaryota; Metazoa; Chordata; Mammalia; Primates; Hominidae
Description: HSALNT0295684
Source: RNAcentral